UUAACUUAAAUUUGUAUGGAGUUGGAACAGUUUCCCUUCGUUUGCCGCUAGGGGCGCUGUUCCAACUCUAUACAAAUUUGAGUUA
Bombyx mori (domestic silkworm) is the source of this 85-nucleotide non-coding RNA. NCBI's taxonomy places the organism in Eukaryota, Metazoa, Arthropoda, Insecta, Lepidoptera, Bombycidae. The record is from Rfam.